RNAcentral lists this long non-coding RNA (645 nucleotides) under Vigna radiata. RNAcentral's name for it is "long non-coding RNA (VRAD_LNC000211)". The record is from RNAcentral. Lineage: Eukaryota; Viridiplantae; Streptophyta; Magnoliopsida; Fabales; Fabaceae.
GCAAAUUUAGGGUUGGUGACUGUGAAGCAGAAGUUGUAUAUUAAUUGGGUUUUGGUUUCAACAUUAAACACACAGAAACUGAGAUGGCUAGAACCACUCUUUCUUCCCUGUCUUUAUUUUUCUGUAUUCUCCUCAUAAUCACCUUCACUAUCUUCAUGCAACCAAUUUCAGUAAGAACAGGUUUGUCUCUGUUACUAAAUCAUCCAAAACGUAAAUUAAAGAGGAGAUUUAUAAAUAGAUUUUGUAAGAUUAAAUUAGUUUUUAAAUUAAUUUGUAAUCAUAUAAUUAUAAUGACUUUGGAUGUGUAAAAGUAAGAUUUCUGAAUGAUAUGAAUUUGCAGAAUUGAAACUAAGGGGUCCCAAGCCAAGACCACCUCCUUCACCCACGCCUAACUCGCACCCAGUUCCUGGUGAUCCUGGUAAUCCUUCAUCCAACCAUGGCUGAAAUAUUACAACAAAUCGUAAGGGCUUCAAGUUUUCUUUGGAUUCUCAUUUUGGUUAUCAACUUUUACUGUAUUUGGUUUUAUGUUAUAAAUAACACUGUGUAAGACUAAGAAAAGAUUUACCCUGGAUGUUAUGCACAAUUAUAGAUUAUAAGGAAAUUAAAACCUUUUUAUUAUUCAUUUUAUUUUUACUGGGAUUUUAG